ACGAACGCUGGCGGCAUGCCUAACACAUGCAAGUCGAACGAUGCCUUCGGGCAUAGUGGCGCACGGGUGCGUAACGCGUGGGAAUCUGCCCUUGGGUUCGGAAUAACUCAGAGAAAUUUGAGCUAAUACCGGAUGAUGACGUAAGUCCAAAGAUUUAUCGCCCAAGGAUGAGCCCGCGUAAGAUUAGCUAGUUGGUGGGGUAAAGGCCUACCAAGGCGACGAUCUUUAGCUGGUCUGAGAGGAUGAUCAGCCACACUGGGACUGAGACACGGCCCAGACUCCUACGGGAGGCAGCAGUGGGGAAUAUUGGACAAUGGGCGAAAGCCUGAUCCAGCAAUGCCGCGUGAGUGAUGAAGGCCUUAGGGUUGUAAAGCUCUUUUACCAGGGAUGAUAAUGACAGUACCUGGAGAAUAAGCUCCGGCUAACUCCGU
This 431-nucleotide ribosomal RNA is filed under the name uncultured bacterium. RNAcentral's name for it is "bacterial SSU rRNA". It matches the Rfam family "Bacterial small subunit ribosomal RNA", at positions 29 to 506 of the family's 1533-position model. The record is from RNAcentral.